UAGGGAAUAUUGGACAAUGGGGGCAACCCUGAUCCAGCCAUGCCGCGUGAGUGAAGAAGGCCCUCGGGUUGUAAAGCUCUUUUGUCCGGAAAGAAAAGCAUUCGGUGAAUACCCGGAUGUUCUGACGGUACCGGAAGAAUAAGCACCGGCUAACUUCGUGCCAGCAGCCGCGGUAAUACGAAGGGUGCAAGCGUUACUCGGAAUUACUGGGCGUAAAGCGUGCGUAGGUGGUUGUUUAAGUCUGAUGUGAAAGCCCUGGGCUCAACCUGGGAAUGGCAUUGGAAACUGGGCAGCUAGAGUGCGGUAGAGGGUAGUGGAAUUCCCGGUGUAGUAGUGAAAUGCGUAGAGAUCGGGAGGAACAUCUGUGGCGAAGGCGACUGCCUGGACCAGCACUGACACUGAGGCACGAAAGCGUGGGGAGCAAACA
RNAcentral lists this ribosomal RNA (427 nucleotides) under uncultured bacterium. Its description in RNAcentral is "bacterial SSU rRNA". It matches the Rfam family "Bacterial small subunit ribosomal RNA", at positions 355 to 774 of the family's 1533-position model. The record is from RNAcentral.